UAUAACAGUUGUAAUGUCCAGAGAACCCCAAAGACAAAAAAGAAAAAAAAAUCAAAUGACAAACUUGCUGUUUACGUCAAAACGUAAACCAUUUUCAUUUCCUUAAACUGUAUCUUAAAUAUGAAUAGCACCAUUGUUAGUGUACUAUCCAUUAGAACUGUUAUCGAAGUUAAGAUAAUUAUUCUAUGUUUUUCCUUUUCCCAUUUUCAUAUUUUCUUUUUAUCGGCCUUCUCUAAUGGCCAUAUUGGGAGUCUAAUUUCCGCGUCUUAUUGAAUUCUAUUCUAAUUCGACUCUGGAACCUGACAGUCCAAAUCCAGUACCAUCCUAAUAAAAAGAAUUCUAAUAUAGCGAAAUAUAAAAGCUUUUUUUUCAUUACUCUGGAUUUGGGUUCCAACCGUUUUCAACGUUUCUGCCAGCUACAACAUUCAAGUACACAACAAGAAGUCGAAAGAUUCACUCAAUUUGAUAUAAAGUGCCGUGUCGUGUUUCACCCCAAAAUAUAAACUUCAAAAUAAUUAUAUAUCUGGAAAUUCCUGGCUAAUUCCCCAAAUAACUAAGCUGAGAAGAUCGACAACCUAGGAAUUGUGGAUUUACUAAGAGGAAGACUAAGAGGAUUUACUAAGAGGAGACUGCCUUAAUACAACAAGAGGAUUGUGAUUCUUUAUUUACAAUAUUACAAUGAAGGGUCCUUCGUCUUCUCGUUAUUCGGAAUUUGCCUGCAGGUUGUGCCGCAAAAAUACCAAUAAGAUGGUUACCCCUCUUGAUAUCACCACCCCCAAGGACUCUUCAGAUACUACCGGCUCAAUACCGAGGUCAACAUCGACAUCCAGUAUUACCUCUUUGUCGGCACUUCUUAGGCAGAAUGCCACCCCUCUUCUUCCUACUGCAGUCGUCAAAAUCAACGGAGCAAAUAGCACACAGUUGGCAAGGUGUUUAUUGGAUUCCGCGGCCCCCAUGAGCUGCAUUUCCAAACGCUUCGUAGAUAAGUUGGGGUUGUCUACGCUCGAGUUGGAAGAUGAAGUUAUGUGCCCCGUCACCUUGACAUCCUGCGUCGAUUCCAAGACAAAGAUAGAGGCUAUAUUGCGAAUGAGGAACAGGAUUGGAAUUACAACUCCUAAGCAAUCGCUGCCCGAGUCUUCAAAACUCAGUUUCAAAAACUUCGUCCUAGCAGAUAGCAAAUUCUAUAAGGCAGCUUCUGUUGAUAUCGUCAUUGGUGUUGACAUAUAUUCCAAAAUUAUUGUCGACGGCAUCUUUAUUCGCCAUGGACUUCCUACAGCUCAAAAUACCCUUUUCGGAUUAGUGCUAUAUGGAACAUUUUCAAAUUAAUACAAAUAAUUGUACUCUCUUCCACCACUUUUAUUCUGAAUUUACGAUACCUUUUUUUUAAAUACUAAUAUGCCAAUUGAAAUCGCUUGAAGACAUAUUGUAUUAUGAUAUAAUAAGUUAUGCAUUAAGUCAUUUAGUCAUAUGAAUUUAGUCCUAAAUGAAUUGAUUAUAUAAUUGUCAUGUCCCCUUGCCAUGGGGGGCGGAAUGUUUACGUCAAAACGUAAACCAUUUUCAUUUCCUUAAACUGUAUCUUAAAUAUGAAUAGCACCAUUGUUAGUGUACUAUCCAUUAGAACUGUUAUCGAAGUUAAGAUAAUUAUUCUAUGUUUUUCCUUUUCCCAUUUUCAUAUUUUCUUUUUAUCGGCCUUCUCUAAUGGCCAUAUUGGGAGUCUAAUUUCCGCGUCUUAUUGAAUUCUAUUCUAAUUCGACUCUGGAACCUGACAGUCCAAAUCCAGUACCAUCCUAAUAAAAAGAAUUCUAAUAUAGCGAAAUAUAAAAGCUUUUUUUUCAUUACUCUGGAUUUGGGUUCCAACCGUUUUCAACGUUUCUGCCAGCUACAACAUUCAAGGUAAAAAAAGUGAUCUUGGAUUUUGUUUGGGCUCUAAGAGCAAGUUGUCCACCAUCACACUCACGGUAGAUGCUUCCAAAGCUUUACCAGGCAAUUCAGCCGUUUGCCUGAACACUUGCCAACAAACAAAACCAGGUGAGAUAUUUUCAACUGUAACGAUCCAAUCGAAUACAGGCUAAUAACAGAUUUGAUUCUCUAGUUUCAUUACUGCCAAUUGCCCCAUGGUGGUGGUUAUUGGAAAAAGAGAUGAAGGAAAAUGCU
Long non-coding RNA from Musca domestica (house fly), 2154 nucleotides. RefSeq lists it as uncharacterized. The transcript has 3 exons. NCBI's taxonomy places the organism in Eukaryota, Metazoa, Arthropoda, Insecta, Diptera, Muscidae. The record is from RefSeq and is a predicted model, not a curated record.